UAUGUUUGUCUGUACAGUUAUGGCUGUCCUGUUAUUAUUUUGUGUCUUGAUCAAUAAUGAGUAGCUAAACCAUAUCGACUUUUGGACACUGAUGCGCAGGAGAACCCCUAGCUGUCAAUCAAGCAGGCGCGGUGAACGGAUUAUGACGCUCGAGCGUUCCAAAUGACGCAACAAUACAGUUCCAGAACAGAGAAAGUUAAUGCCGAAGAUGUUGUUCGGUUCCACACUAAAACUGCUGUUUGACAAGUGUGAUUUGAGAAAUAAAACUUGUAGACCUUUCCUGCAGUCUCUGAGGAGAUGGACACCUCUUCUUCUUCUGGACGAUCUCCGUCUCCUACUGGGACUGUCUUCUUACCCCCUCCUAUCAUGUGGAACAGUCUCUACAAGCAGGCAGAGAUGGAGGUUCAGUUCCUGAGGGAAGAGAAGAAG
Long non-coding RNA from Salvelinus namaycush (lake trout), 429 nucleotides. RefSeq lists it as uncharacterized. The record is from RefSeq and is a predicted model, not a curated record. Lineage: Eukaryota; Metazoa; Chordata; Actinopteri; Salmoniformes; Salmonidae. The transcript has 3 exons.